This 423-nucleotide ribosomal RNA is filed under the name Sulfurovum xiamenensis. Its description in RNAcentral is "partial 23S ribosomal RNA". It matches the Rfam family "Bacterial large subunit ribosomal RNA", at positions 519 to 944 of the family's 2925-position model. Lineage: Bacteria; Pseudomonadati; Campylobacterota; Epsilonproteobacteria; Campylobacterales; Sulfurovaceae. The record is from RNAcentral.
AAGAACCCCUGUGAGGGGAGUGAAAUAGAACCUGAAACCGUGUACGUACAAGCAGUAGGAGCCUCUUCGUGGGGUGACUGCGUACCUUUUGUAUAAUGGGUCAGCGACUUAUAUUCAGUGGCAAGGUUAACCAUUUAGGGGAGCCGUAGGGAAACCGAGUCUUAACUGGGCGUUCAGUCUCUGGAUAUAGACCCGAAACCGGGUGAUCUAGCCAUGGGCAGGUUGAAGGUUGAGUAACAUCAACUGGAGGACCGAACCGACUAAUGUUGAAAAAUUAGCGGAUGACUUGUGGCUAGGGGUGAAAGGCCAAUCAAACUCGGAGAUAGCUGGUUCUCCCCGAAAGCUAUUUAGGUAGCGCCUCGGACGAAUACUACUGGGGGUAGAGCACUGUUAAGGCUAGGGGGUCAUCCCGACUUACCAACC